RNAcentral lists this ribosomal RNA (482 nucleotides) under uncultured bacterium. RNAcentral describes it as "partial 16S ribosomal RNA". It matches the Rfam family "Bacterial small subunit ribosomal RNA", at positions 28 to 523 of the family's 1533-position model. The record is from RNAcentral.
GACGAACGCUGGCGGCGUGCUUAACACAUGCAAGUCGAACGAUGAAACCUAGCUUGCUAGGUCGAUUAGUGGCGAACGGCUGAGUAACACGUGACUAACCUGCCCCUUUCUCUGGGCUAACGCUCCGCAAGGAGUGCUAAUACCGGACACCCCCACCGAGGCACACGCCUCGAUGUGGAAAGUUUUUCGGAAAGGGAUGGUGUCGCGGCCUAUCAGCGUGUUGGUGAGGUAACGGCUCACCAAGCCGACGACGGGUAGCCGGCCUGAGAGGGCGACCGGCCACACUGGGACUGAGACACGGCCCAGACUCCUACGGGAGGCAGCAGUGGGGAAUAUUGCACAAUGGGCGCAAGCCUGAUGCAGCGACGCCGCGUGAGGGAUGAAGGUCUUCGGAUUGUAAACCUCUUUCAGUAGGGACGAAGCGAAAGUGACGGUACCUAAAGAAGAAGCACCGGCUAACUACGUGCCAGCAGCCGCGGUAA